Long non-coding RNA from Haplochromis burtoni (Burton's mouthbrooder), 962 nucleotides. RefSeq lists it as uncharacterized. Lineage: Eukaryota; Metazoa; Chordata; Actinopteri; Cichliformes; Cichlidae. The record is from RefSeq and is a predicted model, not a curated record. The transcript is spliced from 2 exons.
GCGCAGGGCAACAGGGUGGCCCAGCUGCAGAAAUAAUCAACCUGCUUGUAAAAAAGAAGAAAAUCGGUGUAGCCUGUCAGAGCGGCCUGCAUCCAAAGCUGGAUCUGGAAGAAGACACAAACUGUCACCCUCAACCAGGAACUAGCAAGCUUCCUGUGAGCUGGAAACCUGUGGAACAGCAGUGCCGCAGUCCACAGUGAAGUGUGUUUUACAUCACUGGACUGAGAAGGCACCAAGCAAGGCAAGUGCCUGCUCCAAAAUUACACCUUCAAGCUCUAUUUGAAUUUUCAGCUGCUCACAUGGACAAAUCAAACAUCCUCUGGAAAAAAGUUUGAUGGUCAGAGGAGACCAAGGUUGAGCUAUUUGGUCACAAUGACAAAGAGGUAUGUUUGGAGGAGUAAAGGAGGUGAGGAUUUCAAACCUAAGAACAAUCCACCAGCUGUCAAGCUGGUGGUGGUAGCAUAAUUCUCUGGGGCUGCUUAGCUGCCAGUGGUACAGGUACACUGCGCAAAGUGGAUGGUUUAAUGGAGAAGGGGAGCUACCUCCGAAUUUUCCAACAUGAUCACAAUGAUCAGCUUCAAAUUGAGGACAAUGAUCCCUUCUUGAAUGACUUUCCCAAAGCCCCGACCUCACACCAAUAGAAAAUCUAUGGACCAGUCCUGUGCCAGGAAAACAAGCAAUUUAAAUGAGGUCUGCAAAUUCUGUCAAGAAGAGUGGUCAAAUAUCUCGCCAGAAUUAUGCCAGAAGCUCGUUGACGGCUACCAAAAGUGUCUGGUAAAGGAUGCUUGCAUAAUCAUUGUACCAUGGACAGAACAGGUCAAAGAAAUCAUUAAAAGUCCCAAAUUACCAUGACAUUCAUGCCCAUGAUUGCUGAAUGUAAACGUUUGACUACAGCCGUACAACAAAUACACAAUCUUAAAGUUAAUCUGCUGCUCAGUUAUUUACCUUGGUAUAAAAAAUGC